Molecule: ribosomal RNA, 433 nt
Filed under: uncultured bacterium
Lineage: Bacteria
Description: partial 16S ribosomal RNA
Rfam family: Bacterial small subunit ribosomal RNA
Source: RNAcentral
AACGAACGCUGGCGGCAUGCCUAACACAUGCAAGUCGAACGAUACCUUCGGGUCGAGUGGCGCACGGGUGCGUAACGCGUGGGAACCUGCCCUUAGGUUCGGAAUAACUCCCCGAAAGGGGUGCUAAUACCGGAUAAUGUCUUCGGACCAAAGAUUUAUCGCCUUUGGAUGGGCCCGCGUUGGAUUAGCUAGUUGGUAGGGUAAAAGCCUACCAAGGCGACGAUCCAUAGCUGGUCUGAGAGGAUGAGCAGCCACACUGGGACUGAGACACGGCCCAGACUACUACGGGAGGCAGCAGUGGGGAAUAUUGGACAGUGGGCGAAAGCCUGAUGCAGCAAUGCCGCGUGAGUGAUGAAGGCCUUAGGGUUGUAAAGCUCUUUUACCCGGGAUGAUAAUGACAGUACCGGGAGAAUAAGCUCCGGCUAACUCCGUG